Molecule: unclassified non-coding RNA, 329 nt
Filed under: soil metagenome
Description: partial contains 5.8S ribosomal RNA, internal transcribed spacer 2, and large subunit ribosomal RNA
Rfam family: 5.8S ribosomal RNA (bases 2-120)
Source: RNAcentral
UAUGAAGAACGCAGCGAAAUGCGAUAAGUAAUGUGAAUUGCAGAAUUCAGUGAAUCAUCGAAUCUUUGAACGCACAUUGCGCCCCUUGGUAUUCCGAGGGGCAUGCCUGUUCGAGCGUCAUUAUAACCCCUCAAGCUCAGCUUGGUGUUGGGGCCUGCUGCACUGGCAGCCCUUAAAAUCAGUGGCGGCGCCAUCUGGCUCUAAGCGUAGUAAUUCUUCUCGCUAUGGAGUCCUGGUGGAUGCUUGCCAUCAACCCCCAAUUUUUCUAUGGUUGACCUCGGAUCAGGUAGGGAUACCCGCUGAACUUAAGCAUAUCAAUAAGCGGAGGA